RNAcentral lists this long non-coding RNA (239 nucleotides) under Olea europaea (common olive). Its description in RNAcentral is "long non-coding RNA (OEUR_LNC001693)". The record is from RNAcentral. Lineage: Eukaryota; Viridiplantae; Streptophyta; Magnoliopsida; Lamiales; Oleaceae.
UGGUGUGAUUCGGUUUGAGCAACGGAUCCUGACGCGAUACAUCUUCGUAAUGAAAAUCGAGUGGAUUCAGGAGUUGGCUUUUCAAGUGUAUAUAGAAUAAGCACUGUGAACUGUCUGUUUCAAAAAGACAACUAUAACUAUAAAAUUAGAAACCGACAUCUUUAUCAAAAUGGCCCAAGAUUUUUUUAAUAUAGUAGGACCUUGGCCCAUUUUUGCUGAUAUCGUCUACUAUUUUAUUU